UGGCAGGUCAGCAUACUGCCGUGAAUACGUUCCCGGGCCUUGUACACACCGCCCGUCACACCAUGAGAGUUAGGAAUACCCGAAGCCUGUGAGCUAACUUUUAGAGGCAGCAGUCGAAGGUAGAACUAAUGAUUGGGGUGAAGUCGUAACAAGGUAUC
This 158-nucleotide ribosomal RNA is filed under the name uncultured bacterium. Its description in RNAcentral is "partial 16S ribosomal RNA". It matches the Rfam family "Bacterial small subunit ribosomal RNA", at positions 1342 to 1500 of the family's 1533-position model. The record is from RNAcentral.